UCUUCUGACACGGCUGAGAGCUCUGCAGAGCGUUAUCUGUCCUGUCUUCCCGAAGAAUGAGUUCCAGCUAGACAAUGCGGUGAAGCAGGAGGAACAAAGCCAGAGAGACUACAGAAGUCCAGACAGCUACAAUGCUGUGGAAUAUUGCUUUAACUAUGUGAAGCACAACAUGCCAAUGAUGGCAGCCGGCUCGAGGAGCAGCUCCGGGUGAACGGAAGGAAGUAGAUGCAGCCUCUACUCAGGUCAGCAGUUGUUAAACUGUUUUCUCUCUUUCCUCAGCCCAGAAGGCCAAACUAAAGAGGUCUCUCUACUUUACAAGUCAAAAUGAUUCGUAGUCCCUUUAAAUAUCUUCAUUUUUAUGUUUUGUUUUUAGGAACAGAAUAAAGUUUCAAUAAAUGCCUA
Non-coding RNA from Myodes glareolus (Bank vole), 402 nucleotides. NCBI's taxonomy places the organism in Eukaryota, Metazoa, Chordata, Mammalia, Rodentia, Cricetidae. The record is from RefSeq and is a predicted model, not a curated record.